RNAcentral lists this ribosomal RNA (253 nucleotides) under uncultured bacterium. Its description in RNAcentral is "partial 16S ribosomal RNA". It matches the Rfam family "Bacterial small subunit ribosomal RNA", at positions 524 to 776 of the family's 1533-position model. The record is from RNAcentral.
UACGGAGGGUGUGAGCGUUGUCCGGAAUCACUGGGCGUAAAGGGCGCGUAGGCGGCUCAUGAAGGCUGUGGUGAAAGUCCGGGGCUCAACCUCGGAUCGGCCGUGGCGACUCGUGGGCUGGAGCACUGUAGAGGCGGGUGGAAUUCCGGGUGUAGCGGUGGAAUGCGUAGAGAUCCGGAAGAACACCAGUGGCGAAGGCGGCCCGCUGGGCAGUGGCUGACGCUGAAGCGCGACAGCGUGGGGAGCAAACAGG